GGUUUGUGACUCAGUGGUAGAGCACUUGCCUAAUAUGUGUGAGGCACUGGGUUCGAUUCUCAGCACCA
RNAcentral lists this transfer RNA (68 nucleotides) under Marmota monax (woodchuck). Its description in RNAcentral is "tRNA.Ile". Lineage: Eukaryota; Metazoa; Chordata; Mammalia; Rodentia; Sciuridae. The record is from RNAcentral.